RNAcentral lists this non-coding RNA (83 nucleotides) under Spodoptera frugiperda (fall armyworm). The record is from RNAcentral. Lineage: Eukaryota; Metazoa; Arthropoda; Insecta; Lepidoptera; Noctuidae.
UGUAAUUGGAAUGAGUACACUUAUUCACUGCGUCCAUAUAAAGUAAAAAACUGUAAACUAGUGUGCUUUUCCACCAGAGAUGU